This 702-nucleotide ribosomal RNA is filed under the name uncultured bacterium. RNAcentral describes it as "bacterial SSU rRNA". It matches the Rfam family "Bacterial small subunit ribosomal RNA", at positions 766 to 1466 of the family's 1533-position model. The record is from RNAcentral.
UAGCAAACGGGAUUAGAUACCCCGGUAGUNCACGCCGUAAACGAUGUCAACUAGCCGUUGGGCCUAUAUACAGGUUUAGUGGCGGAGCUAACGUAUUAAGUUGACCGCCUGGGGAGUACGGCCGCAAGGUUAAAACUCAAAUGAAUUGACGGGGGCCCGCACAAGCGGUGGAGCAUGUGGUUUAAUUCGAUGCAACGCGAAGAACCUUACCUACCCUUGACAUCCAGAGAAUCUGUUAGAGAUAGUAGAGUGCCUUCGGGAACUCUGAGACAGGUGCUGCAUGGCUGUCGUCGGCUCGUGUCGUGAGAUGUUGGGUUAAGUCCCGUAACGAGCGCAACCCUUAUCCUUAGUUGCUAGCAGGUAAUGCUGAGAACUCUAAGGAGACUGCCGGUGAUAAACCGGAGGAAGGUGGGGACGACGUCAAGUCAUCAUGGCCCUUAUGGGUAGGGCUACACACGUGCUACAAUGGUCGGUACAGAGGGCCGCGAACUCGCGAGAGUAAGCAAAUCCCAGAAAGCCGAUCUUAGUCCGGAUUGCAGUCUGCAACUCGACUGCAUGAAGUUGGAAUCGCUAGUAAUCGCGAAUCAGGAUGUCGCGGUGAAUACGUCCCCGGGCCUUGUACACACCGCCCGUCACACCAUGGGAGUGGGUUGCAAAAGAAGUGAGUAGUCUAACCUUCGGGAGGGCGCUCACCACUUUGUG